GAUUAAUACCCUAUGCUGUUCGAAUGAGGACAUCUGAGCUGAACGAAAGGUUUACCGCUGAGGGAUGGGGAUGCGUCCGAGUUAGGUAGUCGGCGGGGUAACGGCCCACCGAGCCCUCGAUCGGUAGGGGUUCUGAGAGGAAGGUCCCCCACACUGGUACUGAGACACGGACCAGACUCCUACGGGAGGCAGCAGUGAGGAAUAUUGGUCAAUGGGCGAGAGCCUGAACCAGCCAAGUAGCGUGCAGGAUGACGGCCCUACGGGUUGUAAACUGCUUUUAUGCGGGGAUAAAGUGAGGGACUUGUCCCUUUUUUGCAGGUACCGCAUGAAUAAGGACCGGCUAAUUCCGUGCC
This 353-nucleotide ribosomal RNA is filed under the name uncultured bacterium. RNAcentral's name for it is "bacterial SSU rRNA". It matches the Rfam family "Bacterial small subunit ribosomal RNA", at positions 161 to 509 of the family's 1533-position model. The record is from RNAcentral.